Molecule: small nuclear RNA, 137 nt
Filed under: Eptatretus burgeri (inshore hagfish)
Lineage: Eukaryota; Metazoa; Chordata; Myxini; Myxiniformes; Myxinidae
Description: U1 spliceosomal RNA (ENSEBUG00000000282.1)
Rfam family: U1 spliceosomal RNA
About the family: U1 is a small nuclear RNA (snRNA) component of the spliceosome (involved in pre-mRNA splicing). Its 5' end forms complementary base pairs with the 5' splice junction, thus defining the 5' donor site of an intron.
Source: Rfam by way of RNAcentral
AUAAAACAAUAUGGUUCUCUCAUGGUGAGACUCCCCCAUUGCACUCCGGGGGGGUUGACCCUUGCGAUUUCCCCAAAUGUGGGAAACUCGACCGUACAAUUUGUGGGAGUGGGGGACUGCGUUCGCGCUGUCCCCUG